RNAcentral lists this ribosomal RNA (406 nucleotides) under uncultured bacterium. Its description in RNAcentral is "partial 16S ribosomal RNA". It matches the Rfam family "Bacterial small subunit ribosomal RNA", at positions 29 to 526 of the family's 1533-position model. The record is from RNAcentral.
AUUGAACGCUGGCGGCAGGCCUAACACAUGCAAGUCGAACGAGUGGCGGACGGGUGAGAAAUGUAUGGGACACUGCCUGAUGGAGGGGGUAAACUACUGGAAACGGUAGCUAAUACCGCAUACCCACAGAUGUGCCCCGAUGGGAUUAGCUUGUUGGUGGGGUAACGGGGCACUAGGGCGACGCUCCCUAGUUGGUCUGAGAGGAUGAACAGCCACACUGGAACUGAGACACGGUACAGACUCCUAAGAGAGGCAGCAGGGGGGAAUAUUGCACAAUGGGCGCAAGCCUGAAGAAGCCAUGCCGCGUGUAUGAAGUAGGCGUUGGGGGUGUAAAGUACUUUCAGCGGGGAGGCGGUACCCGCAGAAGAAGCACCGGCUAACUCCGUGCCAGCAGCCGCGGUAAUAC